UGAUGUGUCUGGGAGAACACCCCUGACUGGAUGUUUCCAUUCUUAGCCCCAUUGUAGGAAGGAGAACAAGGCCUGGAGAUGGCAUACUGUUCACCAGGUCAGGCAGUGUAGGAGAAGAGCCUGCACCCAACAUCAGAACUUUUGAGUGCUAGGACCCUAGGACCUCUGGACAGGCAGGAUGGAACAAGCCUGGACUACAUCCAAAAAGCUCAGCCACUGUAAGGAUGAGAAAAACAUCGAUGCACAAAAGAAAAGUGCCAGGACCAAAGUCUAAUCAGGCAUCCCAGGAUACAGAGAGCCUGACAGACUCGGGCCAGAGGUUUCCUACAAAUUCUAGAAGACGAAGAAGGCCCUACUCCACAGAAGAAGCCUGUUGCUGAUGCCGUCCCAAUAGGGAAGCCUGUUGCUGAUGCUGUCCCAAUCAGUACUAUGAUUGUGAAACUUGUAUCUCUAUGAAUACCGGGUUCUGGAGUCUUGUGCCCAGGUAUCCAGUCCUCCUCUCAUUGCUCAUUUGGUAGAACUUUGCAAGUCGUGCCAUUGGGAGUGUCAUGUGCUAAUGGUGUCCCACUUGGUACAUAGGCUAAGAAAACUUUCUACCCAUUUAAGGGGCUGGAAAUAGGCUGAACUCACAGUCAACAUUAAAAUUACAUUUCUAUA
Molecule: long non-coding RNA, 657 nt
Organism: Mastomys coucha (southern multimammate mouse)
Lineage: Eukaryota; Metazoa; Chordata; Mammalia; Rodentia; Muridae
Exons: 2
Source: RefSeq, a predicted model, not a curated record